AUGAACGCUGGCGGCGUGCCUAAUACAUGCAAGUCGAGCGAACGGACGAGAAGCUUGCUUCUCUGAUGUUAGCGGCGGACGGGUGAGUAACACGUGGAUAACCUACCUAUAAGACUGGGAUAACUUCGGGAAACCGGAGCUAAUACCGGAUAAUAUUUUGAACCGCAUGGUUCAAAAGUGAAAGACGGUCUUGCUGUCACUUAUAGAUGGAUCCGCGCUGCAUUAGCUAGUUGGUAAGGUAACGGCUUACCAAGGCAACGAUGCAUAGCCGACCUGAGAGGGUGAUCGGCCACACUGGAACUGAGACACGGUCCAGACUCCUACGGGAGGCAGCAGUAGGGAAUCUUCCGCAAUGGGCGAAAGCCUGACGGAGCAACGCCGCGUGAGUGAUGAAGGUCUUCGGAUCGUAAAACGCUGUUAUUAGGGAAGAACAUAUGUGUAAGUAACUGUGCACAUCUUGACGGUACCGAAUCAGAAAGCCACGGCUAACUACGU
This 495-nucleotide ribosomal RNA is filed under the name uncultured bacterium. RNAcentral's name for it is "partial 16S ribosomal RNA". It matches the Rfam family "Bacterial small subunit ribosomal RNA", at positions 29 to 506 of the family's 1533-position model. The record is from RNAcentral.